RNAcentral lists this long non-coding RNA (228 nucleotides) under Elaeis guineensis (African oil palm). Its description in RNAcentral is "long non-coding RNA (EGUI_LNC026637)". Lineage: Eukaryota; Viridiplantae; Streptophyta; Magnoliopsida; Arecales; Arecaceae. The record is from RNAcentral.
GGCCAUUGCACAGAGAGGGGUGAAAUCGCGAGCGCCAGAGGUUGAGAGGGUGGCGACGACGAUGCGGAGAAGGCAUGAGCCAUUAACGGCCGGAUGUGCGGUAGCGACAGUGUGGUGAAGCAAUGGGCCGAGGUCGAUGGGUGGGGAAGUGAGAGGGAGCACAGAGGAGAUGCUAGUGCUGAUGCCGAAUGCGGAGAAAAAGGAUGGAUGAGCUACGGACCACAAGGG